UGGGGGAUCGUCUAGUGGUAGGACAGCUGACUCUGAAUCAGUAGGCGGGGGUUCGAAUCCUCCUCCCCCAGCCA
RNAcentral lists this transfer RNA (74 nucleotides) under Chloroflexi bacterium B3_Chlor. RNAcentral's name for it is "tRNA-Gln". It matches the Rfam family "tRNA". From Rfam's summary of the family: Transfer RNA (tRNA) molecules are approximately 80 nucleotides in length. Their secondary structure includes four short double-helical elements and three loops (D, anti-codon, and T loops). The record is from RNAcentral. RNAcentral also lists the same sequence under 1 other name. Lineage: Bacteria; Bacillati; Chloroflexota.